RNAcentral lists this ribosomal RNA (468 nucleotides) under uncultured bacterium. RNAcentral's name for it is "partial 16S ribosomal RNA". It matches the Rfam family "Bacterial small subunit ribosomal RNA", at positions 28 to 507 of the family's 1533-position model. The record is from RNAcentral.
GACGAACGCUGGCGGCGUGCUUAACACAUGCAAGUCGAACGGUGAUGCUCCAGCUUGCUGGCGUGGAUCAGUGGCGAACGGGUGAGUAACACGUGAGCAACCUGCCCCAGACUCUGGAAUAAGCGCUGGAAACGGCGUCUAAUACUGGAUACGAAACUGGCCCGCAUGGGCAUGGUUUGGAAAGUUUUUCGGUUUGGGAUGGGCUCGCGGCCUAUCAGCUUGUUGGUGAGGUAAUGGCUCACCAAGGCGACGACGGGUCGCCGGCCUGAGAGGGCGACCGGCCACACUGGGACUGAGACACGGCCCAGACUCCUACGGGAGGCAGCAGUGGGGAAUAUUGCACAAUGGGCGAAAGCCUGAUGCAGCGACGCCGCGUGAGGGAUGACGGCCUUCGGGUUGUAAACCUCUUUCAGCAGGGAAGAAGCGAAAGUGACGGUACCUGCAGAAGAAGCACCGGCUAACUACGUG